This 669-nucleotide ribosomal RNA is filed under the name Salmonella enterica subsp. enterica serovar Typhimurium. RNAcentral's name for it is "partial 23S ribosomal RNA". It matches the Rfam family "Bacterial large subunit ribosomal RNA", at positions 2259 to 2925 of the family's 2925-position model. RNAcentral also lists the same sequence under 1 other name. Lineage: Bacteria; Pseudomonadati; Pseudomonadota; Gammaproteobacteria; Enterobacterales; Enterobacteriaceae. The record is from RNAcentral.
UGGUGGGUAGUUUGACUGGGGCGGUCUCCUCCUAAAGAGUAACGGAGGAGCACGAAGGUUGGCUAAUCCUGGUCGGACAUCAGGAGGUUAGUGCAAUGGCAUAAGCCAGCUUGACUGCGAGCGUGACGGCGCGAGCAGGUGCGAAAGCAGGUCAUAGUGAUCCGGUGGUUCUGAAUGGAAGGGCCAUCGCUCAACGGAUAAAAGGUACUCCGGGGAUAACAGGCUGAUACCGCCCAAGAGUUCAUAUCGACGGCGGUGUUUGGCACCUCGAUGUCGGCUCAUCACAUCCUGGGGCUGAAGUAGGUCCCAAGGGUAUGGCUGUUCGCCAUUUAAAGUGGUACGCGAGCUGGGUUUAGAACGUCGUGAGACAGUUCGGUCCCUAUCUGCCGUGGGCGCUGGAGAACUGAGGGGGGCUGCUCCUAGUACGAGAGGACCGGAGUGGACGCAUCACUGGUGUUCGGGUUGUCAUGCCAAUGGCACUGCCCGGUAGCUAAAUGCGGAAGAGAUAAGUGCUGAAAGCAUCUAAGCACGAAACUUGCCCCGAGAUGAGUUCUCCCUGAGACUUAAAGUCUCCUGAAGGAACGUUGAAGACGACGACGUUGAUAGGCCGGGUGUGUAAGCGCAGCGAUGCGUUGAGCUAACCGGUACUAAUGAACCGUGAGGCUUAAC